CGCUAUCACUCCUACGGGAGGCAGCAGUGGGGAAUAUUGCACAAUGGGCGCAAGCCUGAUGCAGCCAUGCCGCGUGUAUGAAGAAGGCCUUCGGGUUGUAAAGUACUUUCAGCAGUGAGGAAGCGGGUACGUUAAUAGCGUGCUUGUUUGACGUUACCUACAGAAGAAGCACCGGCUAACUCCGUGCCAGCAGCCGCGGUAAUACGGAGGGUGCGAGCGUUUAAUCGGAAUUACUGGGCGUAAAGCGCAUGCAGGCGGCCUGUUAAGUCAGAUGUGAAAGCCCGGGGCUUAACCUCGGAAUUGCAUUUGAAACUGGCAGGCUAGAGUCUUGUAGAGGGGGUAGAAUUUCAGGUGUAGCGGUGAAAUGCGUAGAGAUCUGAAGGAAUACCAGUGGCGAAGGCGGCCCCCUGGACAAAGACUGACGCUCAGAUGCGAAAGCGUGGGGAGCAAACAGGAUUAGAUACCCUGGUAG
Molecule: ribosomal RNA, 472 nt
Filed under: uncultured bacterium
Lineage: Bacteria
Description: bacterial SSU rRNA
Rfam family: Bacterial small subunit ribosomal RNA
Source: RNAcentral